AGUGAACGCUGGCGGUAGGCCUAACACAUGCAAGUCGAACGGCAGCACAGUAAGAGCUUGCUCUUACGGGUGGCGAGUGGCGGACGGGUGAGGAAUACAUCGGAAUCUACUUUUUCGUGGGGGAUAACGUAGGGAAACUUACGCUAAUACCGCAUACGACCUACGGGUGAAAGCAGGGGAUCUUCGGACCUUGCGCGAUUGAAUGAGCCGAUGUCGGAUUAGCUAGUUGGCGGGGUAAAGGCCCACCAAGGCGACGAUCCGUAGCUGGUCUGAGAGGAUGGUCGGCCACAUGGGAAUGGGACAAGGUCCCAGCUCCCAACGGAAGCCAGCAGUGGGAAAUAUUGGCCAAUGGGGGCAGGCUGAAGCCGGCCAGACGGCGGGGGGGAAGAAGUCCUUGGGUUGGUAAAGCCCUUUUUUUGGGAAAAAAAAGCAGCAGGUUAAUACCCCGCGGUUCGGAGGUAACCAAAAGAAGAAACACCGGCAACCUUCUG
This 491-nucleotide ribosomal RNA is filed under the name uncultured bacterium. Its description in RNAcentral is "partial 16S ribosomal RNA". It matches the Rfam family "Bacterial small subunit ribosomal RNA", at positions 29 to 507 of the family's 1533-position model. The record is from RNAcentral.